This 192-nucleotide long non-coding RNA is filed under the name Dasypus novemcinctus (nine-banded armadillo). RNAcentral describes it as "lncRNA (ENSDNOG00000052428.1)". Lineage: Eukaryota; Metazoa; Chordata; Mammalia; Cingulata; Dasypodidae. The record is from RNAcentral.
CAGAAGCCACCAGCCUGCCCCUUCUUCCCACCUGGCUCUGAAACUAUGCGCUAGGGACCGUGGCCCAGUUGCUGUUGGAGUGGAAAGGUCUCAUUCUAGAAACAACAAAACCAAAACAAGCAUAAAAACCAGAAAAACUUCCUCUUCCAUCCUGUACCUGUCAGCUCUCAGCAAGAGGAGCACCAAAGUUAU